This 521-nucleotide ribosomal RNA is filed under the name Clostridioides difficile. RNAcentral describes it as "partial 23S ribosomal RNA". It matches the Rfam family "Bacterial large subunit ribosomal RNA", at positions 1 to 525 of the family's 2925-position model. Lineage: Bacteria; Bacillati; Bacillota; Clostridia; Peptostreptococcales; Peptostreptococcaceae. The record is from RNAcentral.
GGUCAAGUUAUUAAGGGUGCAGGGCGGAUGCCUUGGCACUAGGAGCCGAUGAAGGACGUGAUAAGCUGCGAUAAGCUUCGGGGAGUUGCACGUAAACUUUGAUCCGAAGAUUUCCGAAUGAGGAAACUCACUUAGAGUAAUGUCUAAGUAUCAUUAAGUGAAUACAUAGCUUAAUGAGGGGAACUCAGGGAACUGAAACAUCUAAGUACCUGAAGGAAGAGAAAGAAAUUCGAUUCCGUAAGUAGCGGCGAGCGAACGCGGAUUAGCCCAAACCAAUAAAGUUUUCUUUAUUGGGGUUGCGGACAUAUCAUAACGAAGAGGUAUCGUAAUUGAAGAGGUUUGGAAAGACCCACCACAGAAGGUAAUAGUCCUGUAUGUUAAACGAGAAGACUUCAGAUAUGAUCCAGAGUACCACGGGACACGUGAAACCCUGUGGGAAGCAGGAGGGACCACCCUCCAAGGCUAAAUACUACCUAGUGACCGAUAGCGUAUAGUACCGUGAGGGAAAGGUGAAAAGAACC